AUGGGUUCAAUGGGGCCUGCCGCCGGGAAGCCGCACGCGGUGUGCCUGCCGUACCCGGCGCAGGGGCACAUCACGCCGAUGCUCAACGUGGCCAAGCUGCUCCACGCCCGGGGCUUCGACGUCACCUUCGUCAACACCGAGUACAACCACGCCCGCCUCGUCCGCUCCCGCGGCCCUGCCGCCGUGGCCGGCCUCCCGGGCUUCCGCUUCGCCACCAUCCCCGACGGCCUGCCGCCGUCUGACGACGACGACGUCACGCAGGACAUCCCCGCGCUCUGCAAGUCCACCACGGAGACCUGCCUCGGCCCCUUCCGCGACCUCCUCGCGCGGCUCAACGACCCCGCCACCGGCCACCCGCCCGUCACCUGCGUCGUCUCGGACGUCGUCAUGGGGUUCUCCAUGGAGGCCGCCAACGAGCUCGGCCUUCCCUAUGUCCAGCUCUGGACCGCCAGCGCCAUCAGCUACCUCGGGUACCGCCACUACCGCCUCCUCAUCAGCCGUGGCCUCGUGCCACUUAAAGACGCCGAGCAGCUGGCGAAUGGAUACCUUGACACGCCGGUGGAAGAAGUGCCGGGGCUGAGGAGCAUGAGGCUCAGGGACUUCCCGUCCUUCAUACGCACCACGGACCCGGACGAGUACAUGGUGCACUACGUCCUCAGGGAGACGGAGCGCACGGCUGGGGCGUCGGCCGUCAUCCUCAACAGCUUCGGCGACCUGGAGGGCGAGGCGGUGGAGGCUAUGGAGGCGCUCGGCCUGCCCAAGGUCUACACCCUCGGCCCACUCCCUCUGCUGGCGCACGAGGAGCCGCCCACGCCGCGCUCCGCCAUCAACCUUAGCCUCUGGAAGGAGCAGGACGAGUGCCUCGAGUGGCUGGACGGCAGGGAGCCCGGCUCGGUCGUGUACGUCAACUUCGGCAGCAUCACCGUCAUGACCAACGCGCAGAUGGUGGAGUUCGCGUGGGGGCUGGCGCAGAGCGGGAAGCAGUUCAUGUGGAUCGUCCGCCGAGAUCUGGUGAAGGGCGACGCCGCGGUGCUCCCCGAGGAGUUCCUGGCAGAGACGGCGGGGCGCGGGCUCAUGGCGUCCUGGUGCCCGCAGCAGGAGGUGCUGAACCACCCCGCUGUUGGAGCGUUCCUGACGCAUAGUGGCUGGAACUCGGCGCUGGAGAGCUUGUGCGGCGGCGUGCCGGUGAUCAGCUGGCCGUUCUUCGCCGACCAGCAGACCAACUGCAGGUACCAGUGCAACGAGUGGGGCGUCGGCAUGGAGAUCGACAGCAACGUCCGACGCGACGCCGUCGCGGGGCUCAUCACGGAGAUCAUGGAAGGGGAGAAGGGGAAGAGCAUGAGUAAGAGAGCGCAGGAGUGGAAGGAGAGCGCGGUCAAGGCGGCCAUGCCCGGCGGCUCGUCUCACCGAAACUUCGACCACCUGGUCAGCGACGUGCUCCUGCCCAAGUACUAG
This 1455-nucleotide ribosomal RNA is filed under the name Triticum aestivum (bread wheat). RNAcentral's name for it is "partial small subunit ribosomal RNA". Lineage: Eukaryota; Viridiplantae; Streptophyta; Magnoliopsida; Poales; Poaceae. The record is from RNAcentral.